RNAcentral lists this ribosomal RNA (802 nucleotides) under uncultured bacterium. RNAcentral's name for it is "bacterial SSU rRNA". It matches the Rfam family "Bacterial small subunit ribosomal RNA", at positions 14 to 786 of the family's 1533-position model. The record is from RNAcentral.
UGAUCCUGGCUCAGGACGAACGCUGGCGGCGUGCCUAAUACAUGCAAGUCGAGCGGACCUGAUGGAGUGCUUGCACUCCUGACGGUCAGCGGCGGACGGGUGAGUAACACGUAGGUAACCUGCCCGUAAGGCCGGGAUAACAUCCGGAAACGGAUGCUAAUACCGGAUACGCAAUUCCUUCGCAUGGGGGAUUGGGAAAGGCGGUUCCGAUUGAAUUCGGGCUGCCGCUUACGGAUGGACCUGCGGCGCAUUAGCUGGUUGGUGGGGUAACGGCUCACCAAGGCGACGAUGCGUAGCCGACCUGAGAGGGUGAUCGGCCACACUGAGACUGAGACACGGCCCAGACUCCUACGGGAGGCAGCAGUAGGGAUUCUUCCGCAAUGGACGAAAGUCUGACGGAGCAACGCCGCGUGAGUGAGGAAGGCCUUCGGGUCGUAAAGCUCUGUUGCCAGGGAAGAACGUGCGAGGGAGUCACUGCCCUUGUAGUGACGGUACCUGAGAAGAAAGCCCCGGCUAACUACGUGCCAGCAGCCGCGGUAAUACGUAGGGGGCAAGCGUUGUCCGGAAUUAUUGGGCGUAAAGCGCGCGCAGGCGGCUUUGUAAGUCUUGUGUUUAAACGCGGGGCUCAACCCCGUGUCGCAUGGGAAACUGCAAGGCUUGAGUGCAGAAGAGGAAAGUGGAAUUCCACGUGUAGCGGUGAAAUGCGUAGAGAUGUGGAGGAACACCAGUGGCGAAGGCGACUUUCUGGGCUGUAACUGACGCUGAGGCGCGAAAGCGUGGGGAGCAAACAGGAUUAGAUACC